Molecule: transfer RNA, 84 nt
Filed under: Frankiaceae bacterium
Lineage: Bacteria; Bacillati; Actinomycetota; Actinomycetes; Frankiales; Frankiaceae
Description: tRNA-Leu
Rfam family: tRNA
About the family: Transfer RNA (tRNA) molecules are approximately 80 nucleotides in length. Their secondary structure includes four short double-helical elements and three loops (D, anti-codon, and T loops). Further hydrogen bonds mediate the characteristic L-shaped molecular structure. tRNAs have two regions of fundamental functional importance: the anti-codon, which is responsible for specific mRNA codon recognition, and the 3' end, to which the tRNAs corresponding amino acid is attached (by aminoacyl-tRNA synthetases). tRNAs cope with the degeneracy of the genetic code in two manners: having more than one tRNA (with a specific anti-codon) for a particular amino acid; and 'wobble' base-pairing, i.e. permitting non-standard base-pairing at the 3rd anti-codon position.
Source: RNAcentral
GCCCGGGUGGCGCAAUUGGCUGACGCAGGGGCCUUAAAAGCCCCCGCCCGCAAGGGCUUGUGGGUUCGAACCCCACCCCGGGCA